UCUGACCCAAAAACCUUCAUUUCACAGCUCAAAGUAUUAUGAUUACUGCAUGCAACAGUGGGUGCAUUAAGCCAGAAGAUAACGUCUGCAGAGCUUUGCCUGCAGGUGGAGACAUUAAUGCGCUUCCUCUCCUCUCCUGCAGGUGGUGCCGUUUGGUCCGACAGCGGCUCAGCCCCUUUUGUGGAGAACCUGCAGCUAAAUCGCAAAACAUGAAAGUUUGCGAGCGCGUUUCCCGUCAGGGCACGAAGCCAGAGCAGGAGGAGGAAAACAUGUGCUCUCGCUAAUGACACAGCGUCGGGACUGUCCUUGCUGGGGGAAGGAGGCGUGUCAAGGUGUGCUGCACUUCACAGACGACCACAUCAGACCGAGUCCGGCCAUUAACCUUCCAUCACGGCAAAUAAAGUUGUUUUUUUUCCAUGUU
Long non-coding RNA from Stegastes partitus (bicolor damselfish), 421 nucleotides. RefSeq lists it as uncharacterized. The record is from RefSeq and is a predicted model, not a curated record. Lineage: Eukaryota; Metazoa; Chordata; Actinopteri; Pomacentridae. The transcript has 2 exons.